RNAcentral lists this ribosomal RNA (499 nucleotides) under uncultured bacterium. RNAcentral's name for it is "partial 16S ribosomal RNA". It matches the Rfam family "Bacterial small subunit ribosomal RNA", at positions 28 to 523 of the family's 1533-position model. The record is from RNAcentral.
GACGAACGCUGGCGGCGUGCUUAACACAUGCAAGUCGAACGCUGAAGGCCCAGCUUGCUGGGUUGGAUGAGUGGCGAACGGGUGAGUAACACGUGAGUAACCUGCCCCCUUCUUUGGGAUAACGGUCGGAAACGGCUGCUAAUACCGGGUAUUCACUGUCCUUCGCAUGGGGGGUGGUGGAAAGGUUUUUUCUGGUGGGGGAUGGGCUCGCGGCCUAUCAGCUUGUUGGUGGGGUGAUGGCUUACCAAGGCUUUGACGGGUAACCGGCCUGAGAGGGUGACCUGUCACAUUGGGACUGAGAUACGGCCCAGACUCCUACGGGAGGCAGCAGUGGGGAAUAUUGCACAAUGGGCGAAAGCCUGAGGCAGCGACGCCGCGUGAGGGAUGACGGCCUUCGGGUUGUAAACCUCUUUCGCUCAUGGUCAAGCCGCAACUUGGGUUGUGGUGAGGGUAGUGGGUAAAGAAGCACCGGCUAACUACGUGCCAGCAGCCGCGGUAA